RNAcentral lists this long non-coding RNA (2741 nucleotides) under Homo sapiens (human). Its description in RNAcentral is "HSALNT0351840". Lineage: Eukaryota; Metazoa; Chordata; Mammalia; Primates; Hominidae. The record is from RNAcentral.
UGGGCAAUGGGAGAGAAUGGGGGGCGGGGCCCAGGCGGCGGCGCCACGUUCAUUGACAAACGCGCUGGACUAAGGCCUAGUGGAUCGCGGCUGUGGGGAGGGGAAAGGGGCCCACGCAGUGCCUGGAGAGUCCCGCUGCGGGUCCCACGCGGGCUGGACCUCCCCACAGCGAUGCUGGGAUCCUGGGACGCUCUCAAGGCUUGAGAGCAGUCGAUUGAAGGGGGAAGUUCCUGUCCCUAUGUAGACAAAAUGGAUGGAUUUGUAGCAGAACUCUCUUGCUACACAAGGGAUCUUUGACUAGCGAGUCCGCUUCUUUGUGGGUUUUAAGGCUCUGAGACAACAAUCAAAGAAACUGGACCUUGAAAAGGAAGCGUGUGACAGUCAUUCUUCACCCAAGAAGCUAUAGUUCUGUGAGCCAUCUGGGCCCUGGCUCAAGAACGACGCUGAGGAUUCCCUUGCCCCAGCAACUCAUGGGAGUGGUCCGAAGACUCAAUUUCUAUUUCAUGAGUGAUGAUCCGCUAAUAUUAAACAUAAAUCCACAAAACAAGGGCUUUGAGAUGCCUGCUCCAGGACUGGGCUUGUAAGGAAGAGUACAGGCUGAUCAUGAGAGGAUUCCUGGGUUAUCCUCUUGUUUUAUUCUCUGCCUCGGUUUCCCUUCCUCUGCCUUCUCUCUACGCAUGCUCUACUUCUCAAACUCCUACACUGGGGUCGACUCUUGGGCCCACCUUCUGUCCCUGUUCCACACCCAGCUGUCCCUGACCAGUAGACAAGUUUCCGGCGCUGACACCCGUCCCCACCCCCCACCAGGGCACAGCUGCGGAAAACGGCCCCAGGCGGGACUCUGGGGACCCAGGAGGCUGCAGUGCGCGCCGGGGUGGAGUGGCGGCGUUAUCUCUUCUUUGUCUGGAACCCCGCCUGUCCGGAUCUUCCCCUUUCACCCCCGGCCUUGGAGCAGGAAGAUCGCAACAGCAGAGAGGGACUGGGAUGGAAUAGACUUCCUGCACUGGCUUCACCCGAUGGCGCCCAGUGGGUCGGAAAUAACCAGAAUUCAGAUCCUCGGCCCAGACUCAACAUGGCGGCUUGCACACCUACUGGAGAGGCGGGAGUGCGGGACGCCCUGAGGGAUGCAGCCAGUGACACCCCCACCCCCAGCCUCUCUUGCUGAGCUCAGGCCUACAAACCCAGGUUCUCUAGAUUCUUAGAGCUAAAAGGGCCUCGAAGCUAUGCUUUCUCCAUUUCACGGGUGCAGAACCCGAGGCCCAGAGGCAGGAUACGACUUGUCCAAAGUCACACAGCAAGUCUGGGGUAGAAGAAAGGCUGCGGGCUGGAAACCUUUCUCAAAAGCGCCUCUCCAGAGCCGCUCUCGGGAUGGUGGGGGAGGGGCGAUGCUGCCAAAUCGAAGAACUCGGCUGGAAUAUGCCCGCACACGCAGGUUUUCCUUCGGAUACCCGUGAGGCUUGCAUAGAAUCCCCGGGGCACGGCCCGAGCAGGAGUAGCGCCGAUUCUCCCUUUCACACAGUAGGUGUUCGGCUUCGGGACAGUGUUCUGCUGCGUGGCACACACAGGACCCGUCUUACCUGUGCACCCAGAGCAGCCCCUUCCCGCAACUCUCGGCGUUCUUGGGGGAAGGAGUUUCCCUCUGGAUAGGGGUGAUUCAUCACCGCCCGAGCGGGCGGCCUCUGGGAAGUUCCAACCCCAAAAGGCGCGACCGGACCUCAUACCGUGACCACCUAGCCCAGCCUUACAGGUCACCAAACGACAGCCCAGAGAGGUUACGUGACUAGCUCGAGGCUGCACAGCAAGUCCAUGGUGGAGCCGGGCUACUGCGCCUCAGUCCUGUCUCUGAACGCCCACGAGCCGCAGCCUGGGUCCAGGAGAGCGAGACUAGCAGCUCUCACCGCGGCUCUCAACGCAGUCGGGCCUCACUCUGAUCUACAGUGAUGCGCUUUCUUUCUCCCAGUAACAGGGCUUUGGGCCGGGCCCUGUGCUAGGCGCUGGGGGCAGGAGACCGCGAAAGGAAACUAUCCAGGAAGAAACUCAAUUUAUGUGAACCGAAUUGCCUUUGAAAGUUUUAGUACUGAAAGACAGCCCAUUGAGAAUAAUGUGUGAGAAGCCAGAGACCUCGUUUCACUGGGGACACACCCCCUCCCGGCUUCCCUUUCCACGCCUCCCAGCGCACUGCAUUACCGUGGCUUCAGGAUGUGGGGGCUGCUACAGUGUUCUAGUAGCCUGACAUCGACUCUCUCAACCCAAGUCCAGCCCAUUUCCCUGUUCUUGCUUCUGACAAAGUGAGGCCCAAUAGGGCUCAGACUGGUUGCUCAGUUCUGGAAAGAUCAGGGAUGCUGCCAGCAUGGCUGUCUCAACCCACUGAGUUCUGUCUAAACUUCAUUUUUAAAAAAUAAAAAAAAUUAAGUAUCAGAGGGAAAGAAAUUGACCUGAAAUUAUACAGCAAGUGGAGGCACAGCAGAUUCCUGCAUGAUUCCUGCCCCUGGAUCAGGAGUCUGCUCUACUUGACCUGUCCCUGUUUUCAGGAGUUCUUGAAGAGGAUGGAGAAAAAAUGAGAAUUUAACCAGGUUUUUCAAGAAUCAUGUAAAAUCACCUUAGUCGGGGUGUGUUAUCAUUACCAGCAUGUCCUGCAGGCCAGGGGCGCUGGGACUACUCUCUCUCCCAAAGACUUGAGACAGGCAGCCCCUUCUAAAGCCUCUGCUUCCCCGUUUGUUUAAUACAGAGAACAAAUCCUG